UUUGAAUUGAGAGACAGUAUUUUGUGUAGGACUCGCAGUGUGGAGAUUAUCGGAAAAACAGCAAGCGUGACCGGAUAUUCCUGAUGGUGUCUUGUAAAUUAUGUGACAAUCAACUUCCCAGCAAGCACCGGUGAGACAAUCAACUUCCCAGCAAGCACCGAGUAGACAUCUGGGCUGUGUUUGGACGGCAAUUAGACGAAAUUGCUUGCUGGGAUCAGAAGUUGCCGGGGCGUUUCAAACUUCAGCUUAAUUCCGGAAUUUGUGAAACACGGAUCAGUGGAUUUCUAAACAUUAUUUGAACACUGUUGCUGAAAAGUGGUGUGAUCAUAUUUGAUCAUAUACACCUUUUCAGUUAAAUGACAAAGUGUAAAUUUUUAGACAUAGGCCUGACGCGUCUAGUAAGUCAUACUUUUAAUAAUAAUGCCUUAUAACAUAAAGCAAUCGUAUUUAUAAAUGCAUUGGAUGUUGUCAUAGGUUUGUAUUACGUUAUACAGUCAUCCAGUAGGAAACUUAAAUUGAUUACCGUUUAUAUUAUACCUAAAUGGCAUAUAUUUGUGUUUAUUUUUAUUUUGGCCUUAUUAUUGCUAA
Triplophysa dalaica is the source of this 588-nucleotide long non-coding RNA. RefSeq lists it as uncharacterized. The transcript has 3 exons. The record is from RefSeq and is a predicted model, not a curated record. Lineage: Eukaryota; Metazoa; Chordata; Actinopteri; Cypriniformes; Nemacheilidae.